GAUGAACGCUGGCGGCGUGCCUAAUACAUGCAAGUCGAGCGAACAGACGAGGAGCUUGCUCCUCUGACGUUAGCGGCGGACGGGUGAGUAACACGUGGAUAACCUACCUAUAAGACUGGGAUAACUUCGGGAAACCGGAGCUAAUACCGGAUAAUAUAUUGAACCGCAUGGUUCAAUAGUGAAAGGCGGUUUUGCUGUCACUUAUAGAUGGAUCCGCGCCGCAUUAGCUAGUUGGUAAGGUAACGGCUUACCAAGGCAACGAUGCGUAGCCGACCUGAGAGGGUGAUCGGCCACACUGGAACUGAGACACGGUCCAGACUCCUACGGGAGGCAGCAGUAGGGAAUCUUCCGCAAUGGGCGAAAGCCUGACGGAGCAACGCCGCGUGAGUGAUGAAGGUCUUCGGAUCGUAAAACUCUGUUAUCAGGGAAGAACAAAUGUGUAAGUAACUAUGCACGUCUUGACGGUACCUAAUCAGAAAGCCACGGCUAACUACGUG
Molecule: ribosomal RNA, 497 nt
Filed under: uncultured bacterium
Lineage: Bacteria
Description: partial 16S ribosomal RNA
Rfam family: Bacterial small subunit ribosomal RNA
Source: RNAcentral